GGGCGAAUAGCUCAGCGGGUUAGAGCGCCUGCCUUACACGCAGGAAGUCGGGGGUUCGAAUCCCUCUUCGCCCA
RNAcentral lists this transfer RNA (74 nucleotides) under Gemmatimonadetes bacterium 13_1_20CM_2_70_10. Its description in RNAcentral is "tRNA-Val". It matches the Rfam family "tRNA". From Rfam's summary of the family: Transfer RNA (tRNA) molecules are approximately 80 nucleotides in length. The record is from RNAcentral. RNAcentral also lists the same sequence under 5 other names. Lineage: Bacteria; Pseudomonadati; Gemmatimonadota.